UUCCGGUUGAUCCUGCCGGACCUGACUGCUAUCGGAUUGAUACUAAGCCAUGUGAGUCAUUGUAGCAAUACAAGGCAGACGGCUCAGUAACACGUAGUCAAUCUACCCUAUGGACGGGGAUAACCUCGGGAAACUGAGGAUAACACCCGAUAGAUCAUAAUUCCUGGAAUGGUUUAUGGUCCAAACGAUUCGUCGCCGUAGGAUGGGACUGCGGCCUAUCAGCUUGUUGGUGAGGUAAUGGCCCACCAAGGCUAUUACAGGUACGGGCUCUGAGAGGAGAAGCCCGGAGAUGGGUACUGAGACACGGACCCAGGCCCUAUGGGGCGCAGCAGGCGAGAAACCUUUGCAAUGUGCGCAAGCACGACAAGGUUAAUCCGAGUGUUUCCUGCUAAGGGAAUCUUUUGUUAGUUGUAAAACCACUAUCGAAUAAGGGGUGGGCAAGUUCUGGUGCCAGCCGCCGCGGUAAAACCAGCACCUCAAGUGGUCAGGAGGAUUAUUGGGCCUAAAGCAUCCGUAGCCUGUUCUGUAAGUUUUCGGUUAAAUCCACUAGCUCAACUAGUGGGCUGCCGAAAAUACUGUAGAACUAGGGAGUGGGAGAGGUAGACGGUAUUCGGUAGGAAGGGGUAAAAUCCUUUGAUCUAUUGAGGACCACCUGUGGCGAAGGCGGUCUACCAGAACACGUUCGACGGUGAGGGGUGAAAGCUGGGGGAGCAAACCGGAUUAGAUACCCGGGUAGUCCCAGCUGUAAACGAUGCAGACUCGGUGAUGCCCUGGCUUGUGGCCAGUGCAGUGCCGCAGGGAAGCCGUUAAGUUUGCCGCCUGGGAAGUACGUACGCAAGUAUGAAACUUAAAGGAAUUGGCGGGGGAGCAC
RNAcentral lists this ribosomal RNA (871 nucleotides) under uncultured crenarchaeote. Its description in RNAcentral is "bacterial SSU rRNA". It matches the Rfam family "Archaeal small subunit ribosomal RNA", at positions 1 to 879 of the family's 1478-position model. The record is from RNAcentral. Lineage: Archaea; Thermoproteati; Thermoproteota.